CGGGGGGGGCAAGCGUUGUUCGGAAUUACUGGGCGUAAAGGGCUCGUAGAUGGCCAACUAAGUCGGACGUGAAAUCCCUCAACGUUAACUGGGGAACUGCGUCCGAUACUGGAUGGCUUGAGUUUGGGAGAGGGAUGCGGAAUUCCAGGUGUAGCAGUGAAAUGCGUAAAUAUCUGGAGGAACACCGAUGGCGAAAGCGGCAUCCUGGACCAACACUGACACUGAGGAGCGAAAGCCAGAGGAGCAAACAAAAUUAGAUACCCCCGAUAGUCCUGGCCCUAAACGAUGAAUGCUUGGUAUGGCGGGUAUCGAUCCCUGCCAUGCCGAAGCUAACGCAUUAAGCAUUCCGCCUGGGGAGUACGGUCGCAAGGCUG
RNAcentral lists this ribosomal RNA (374 nucleotides) under uncultured organism. RNAcentral describes it as "bacterial SSU rRNA". It matches the Rfam family "Bacterial small subunit ribosomal RNA", at positions 526 to 896 of the family's 1533-position model. The record is from RNAcentral.